AGAUCAUGAUCAUGAUCAUGACGACGCCGAUGAUCAUGAUCGAUCAUGAUCAUCGUCGUCGUCAUGAUCAUCAUCC
RNAcentral lists this microRNA precursor (76 nucleotides) under Guillardia theta CCMP2712. RNAcentral describes it as "microRNA mir-598". The record is from RNAcentral. Lineage: Eukaryota; Cryptophyceae; Pyrenomonadales; Geminigeraceae.